AUAUUUCGGAACUGAGUCUAGUUCCUUCGAUAUCAAUGUAAUCUAGUAAUCAUGAUAAAUCAUCAUGAUUACUAGAUUACAUUUGACAAAUUAUCAUGCAGGAUUACUAGAUUACAUUGAUAUCGAAGGAACUAGACUCAGUUCCGAAAUAU
Molecule: non-coding RNA, 152 nt
Organism: Paramuricea clavata
Lineage: Eukaryota; Metazoa; Cnidaria; Anthozoa; Malacalcyonacea; Plexauridae
Source: the annotation of a GenBank genome assembly